RNA transcript from Gorilla gorilla gorilla (western lowland gorilla), 10877 nucleotides. It is a transcript of the gene named C2 calcium dependent domain containing 4C, with no coding region annotated. The transcript is spliced from 3 exons. NCBI's taxonomy places the organism in Eukaryota, Metazoa, Chordata, Mammalia, Primates, Hominidae. The record is from RefSeq and is a predicted model, not a curated record.
GGCCUGGACUUGGAGAGAAGGAAGGCGGGGCUGUGCAUCUGCCCGUACCUGGCAGAUUGUGGGGUGACCCCUCUGCCCAGCAGCCCCCGCAUCUCUCUGGUUACCUCUGUUUUAUCCAGGAUAAAACACACUUCAACUUCUCCACUAAACAUUUCUCUCACCUCCUUGGAGACACCCUAGUUUAUCACCCGAAUGCCAAACCUCUGCCUUUCAAGACAGCCCAGGACAUCGGACCAGAGCUGGUUGUUUUCUUCUCCAAGAUGCCCCCAGCGUGGCCCUAGAUGGGCCGGGCUUUCCUGUUGUCCUGGCUUCUCUCCAGGACAUCCCCCUCGAUGCCCCUGCUCUUCCCCGACGCCCAGCAUCGUGCUCAAGCACCCCAGCUCCAUUCCUUACACCUCCUGUCAUGUUACAUCUGAGCCUCUGGUUCCAAGAGACCCCCCAGCUCCUCCCACAAACACAGCAUCUUCCCAGGAGAGAGGUUCCCAGCCUCUCCACAUCCCCGCAGGGCCACGUCUGUCAAGGGCUGAGGAUCUCUGGCUGCUUUCUCUGCAGACAGCAGGCCCUACCCCCUGCCCUGGGGGACAGGUCUAGUAAGGGUGUGUGUGGGGAGAAAAAGCCACUCUGGUUUGUCCUGAACUAGGACUGGAGCCUUCCAAAGGCAAACCCAAAAGGGGCUUCGAUGACACGUCUCUUAUUUCCGAGAUGUGGAGGCAGAGCCACCCAUCCAUCCUCCCGUCUACAUGUCGAUCAGUAACCCAUCCAUCCAUCCAUCCAUCAUAUAUCAUCCAUUCACCCAUCCACCCAUCCAUCCAUCAUCCAUUCACCCACCCAUCCAUCAUCCAUCAUCCAUCUAUAAAUCCAUCAGUAACCCAUUCACCCAUCCACUCAUCAUCCAUUCACCCAUCCAUCCAUCAUCCAUCAUCCAUCCAUCAGUAACCCAUCCAUCCAUCCAUCCAUCCAUCAUAUAUCAUCCAUUCACCCAUCCACCCACCCAUCCAUCAUCCAUUCACCCACCCAUCCAUCAUCCAUUCACCCAUCCGUCCAUCAUCCAUCUAUAAAUCUAUCAGUAACCCUCCAUCCACCCAUCAUCCAUUCACCCGUCCACACAUCAUAUAUCAUCCAUCUAUAAACCUAUCAGUAACCAUCCAUCCAUCCAUCAUAUAUCAUCCAUCCACCCGUCAGUAACCCAUUCAUCCAUCCAUCCAUCCAUCCAUCCAUCCAUCCAUCCAUCCAUCCAUUCACCCACCCAUCCAUCAUCCAUCAUCCGUCUAUAAACCUAUCAGUAACCAUCCAUCCAUCCAUCAUACAUCAUCCAUCUAUAAAUCCAUCAGUAACCCACUCAUCCAUCCCCCAUCUACACAUCCAUCAGUAAUCCACCCAUCCAUCCAUCUACACAUCCAACCAUACAUCCAUCCAUCCAUCUACACAUCCAACCAUACAUCCAUCCAUCCAUCUACACAUCCAACCAUACAUCCAUCCAUCCAUCUACACAUCCAACCAUACAUCCAUCCCAUUUACACAUCAGGUAAUCCACCUACCCAUCCCCCAUCUACACAUCCAUCAGUAACCCACUCAUCCAUCCAACCAUCCAUCUGCAUAUCCAGCCAUCCAUCCAUCUCCACAUGUACACAUCCAUCAGUCAUCCAUCCAUCCAGUCACCCAUUCAUCGCCCCAUCUACACCCAUCAGUAACUCAGCCAUCCAUCUAUCCAUUCGCCCACCUGGUCACCCAUCCAUCGGCCUAAGCCUCCAUCAUUAUUCCAUCUAUCCAUUUUCCAUCUGUCCAUCCAUUCAUCAUCCAUGCAUCCACCUGUCUCUCUAUCGCUCAUCCAUCGCCUGUUCAUUUUCAUUCCCUUCACUGCUUCAUCCAUCCACCCACCCACCGUCUUUCAGCAUGCUUGCAUUGAGUAUCUUUUACCUGCUUGAGUAUCUUUUAUCUGCCAGGAGCUCUGGUGGGCAAACAAGAUGCAGUAAUGACCAAAACAGAUCUGCCCUCGUGGAGUUAAUGGCCAAGUGACAUUAAUCCGCAAAUCACCACUCAACAUACAAUCACAGCUGUGGAGUGGGCACGGUGGCUCACGCCUGUAACCCCAGCACUUUGGGAGGCUGAGGUGGGCGGAUCACCUGAGGUCAGGAGUUCAAGACCAGCCUGGCCAACAUGUCAAAACCCCAUGUCUGCUGGAAAUACAAAAAUUAGCUGGGCGUGGUGGUGCACGCCUAUAGUCCCAGCUACUUGGGAGGCUGAGGCAGGAAAAUCACUUGAACCCGGGAGGCGGAGGUUACAGUGAGCUGAGAUCGCACCACUGCACUCCAGCUUGGAGGACAGAGCGAGACUCCAUCUCAAAACAAACAACUGUGGAAAAGAGUGCAUCAUGGAGCUCAGAAAUCCCAGGAAAUCCAGGAGGGUAUCUUUGUGGGAACAACACAGGGACUGUGAUUGGAGGAUGAGCCCCAGGUGAAGAAAGAGCUCUGGGCAGAGGAGAUGGCGUGUGCAAAGGCCCUGUGGUGUGUGCAAAGGCCCUGUGGUGUGUUCAGCCAGCACAUUCAGGGAGCAGAAGGGUGGCCAAUAUGGCCGAGGUGAGGUCAGAAGCGGGGUGAGGACACAGAGCUUGGGGGAGGCCUGGUGCCAGGAAGAGCUGCCAGGGGUCUUUUGAGCACAGGGGCGAUAACAUUCCCCGUGGGAAGUAAACUGUUGGGAAUUGCGGGGAGGGCAAGGAGGAGGCGCUGGACCAGAGGAGUGCUGGGGAGUAGGGAGUGUCAGAUUCCCAAGAUGCAUAGGACAGAGGGCGUCUAAAUGCACUUCAUUCAUUCAUUCAUAGCCCUGGGCCCUGGGCCCAAGGUGCCCAUCCACACUCCACCUCCGUCUGUCCUCUUCCAAGUCCCUGUGUAAAUAGAAACUGGCACCUGCUGGGACAUGAGCCAAGAGCAGCAUGAACUCGGGGGGCUGAAACUCUCCCUGCUUUACAGAUGAGGAAACGGAGGCUCGGAGAGGCGAGGUGACCCCCGAGACCAUCCCACUGGGAGGUGGUGAAGCUGGUUUUGGAGGGCCCCCAUCUCCCAAUCCCGUUCUCUGGGUUGGAAGAGUCUGGGUGCCCAGACGCCUGGCUCCAGCUGGGUCCCUACACCUGUCUCCUCCCCUUUCCUACCUUUGUACUUCCAGUAAUUGGAAUAAUUAAGUCAAUAAUCCACUCCUCGGGAGCCUGAGCCUGGAGUGGGAGGCAGGAGAACCCUGGAUCACAUUCAACCUCUAAAUGCUGCGCAGCCUGGAUGAGUCGUUUUCUUCCCUGAAUCGCACUCGAUCCCCUGCACGAGGAGACAGGAGGACUUGCCGUGGAGGGGUCAGGAUGCCCCAGGAAUCAGCUAGUGCCAUGGAGGGGCCAGGAUGCCCCGGAACUCAGCUGGUGCCAUAGAGGGCCAGGAUGCCCCGGGAAUCAGCUGGUGCCGUGGAGGGGCCAGGAUGCCCCAGAACUCAGCUGGUGCCAUAGAGGGCCAGGAUGCCCCGGGUAUCAGCUGGUGCCAUGGAGGGGCUAGGAUCCCCGGGAAUCAGCUGGUGCCGUGGAGGGGCCAGGAUCCCCGGGAAUCAGCUGGUGGCACAGAGGGCAAGGAUGCCCCGGGUAUCAGCUGGUGCCGUGGAGGGCCAGGAUGCCCCGGGAAUCAGCUGGUGCCGUGGAGGGGCCAGGACGCCCCAGGAAUCAGCUGGUGGCAUAGAGGGCCAGGAUGCCCCGGGAAUCAGCUGGUGCCAUAGAGGACCAGGAUGCCCCGGGAAUCAGCUGGUGCCGUGGAGGGGCCAGGAUCCCCGGGAAUCAGCUGGUGCCGUGGAGGGGCCAGGAUCCCCGGGAAUCAGCUGGUGCCGUGGAGGGGCCAGGAUCCCCGGGAAUCAGCUGGUGCCGUGGAGGGGCCAGGAUGCCCCGGAACUCAGCUGGUGCCGUGGAGGGGCCAGGAUGCCCCGGAACUCAGCUGGUGCCAUAGAGGGCCAGGAUGCCCCAGGUAUCAGCUGGUGCCAUAGAGAGCCAGGAUGCCCCGGAUAUCAGCUGGUGCCGUGGAGGGGCCAGGAUGCCCCGGGAAUCAGCUGGUGCCGUGGAGGGGCAGGAUGCCCUGGAAUCAGCUGGUGCCAUAGAUGGCCAGGAUGAUCUGGGUAUCAGCUGGUGCCGUGGAGGGGCAGGAUGCCCCGGGAAUCAGCUAGUAUCAACUGAGCACCCCGCCUGCGGCAGGCCUGGAGGUCAGCCGGUUCCGUGUGCUCCCUGAGGAAUCGGGCUACUCCCCAGUGCCUCAGUGUCCCUCUCUGGAAACUGGCGAUGGUGGCCCUCCAGGGCCCUCCCACUGGGCUAACCCGUGAUGCACGAAUCAGUCAGGUCCCUCCUGGGAGCUCGCAGACCGUCCUGCUCCUGGGAUUGUUUUAUUGUUAUGCCGUCCCCUCCCUUUCCUGAGGCUCCCAGGGUAAGUUUUCAAGCUGCACAGCUACGCAGUGGCCUCCUCAGCAUUGGAGCUCGGAUUGCAGACCCCCCCCCCGCCCUUUUUUUAAAACCACCUCCCUGUAGGUCCUCCAAGCCUGUUAUCCUGGAGGCCACUGUGGGGCAGCCUUGGAUUCAGGCCUGGCUCGGGGAAGCCCCGGGUCCCUGGUGGGGCCCCCACCUCGGGGGAUGGAGGGCCAAAGCCUCCCAGCAUGAGGUGCCACGACUCAGGGCGGAGAGGGGCUGGCCGAUACCACCUGGGCCCCUCCUCCAGCUUGAGCCUGAAUCUACAGCAUCCUGGUCUCCCAUCCUGGAGGACUGCAGCAAGGCUGCUGCAGAGGGAAGCAGAAGGUUCUGUUGACCAGGAGAGGCUCCUGUUUACUUACUGAUGGUGCAGAGCUAAGCAGCCGGAAGGCCCCGGCCUCCCUGCCCCUGCCCCACCCAGGGUGGGCUCUGCGUCCGUCCACAGGGCAGAUGUUAGGACCCAUCCCAGGUACUUUUCAGGCCUAUGUUUCCUCAGCCCCCAAAUGUGAUAGGGUGUGGGGAUGGGGUGGGGCUUCUGGCCAAGCCAGGCUGUGGUGGGGUCAGGGCUCUGGGGUGCACUUUGAGGUCUGGGGCAGCUCCCCGCUGGCUGAGACCCCUUCCUGACCUGCAGACGCAUCUGAGGGAGAGGGCGACUGAUGCCUGCCUCGCACACAUGGUAGGGAUGCUGCAGGCACUUUGCACAUAGUGAUCUGUUGAGCCCUCCCUCGAGUGCCGUGGUGCCCUGGGCUGCUGGAAAGACAGAGGUCUGGAUGCUUGUCCAGCGUCACACAGGGGGAAGGGUUGGCACCAGGAUUCAAGCCCUGACUGACCAGCUCUGGAUUCGUGUCCUAGCAUGGAAACAGGCAUAGUGUGAACUCAGUGCCUCAUCCCCCAACCCAGCUGGCAGGAGAGGCUCUGCCCCCACCUGGGCUGGGCAGGGGUGCCGGAGAGCGAACCCACAAUACCUGGGGCUGGCCUGAUGUCAGGAGACCCGUCACUGCCCCUUCCUCAGACCCAAGCUGUCCGCUUCCCUCCCCAGGCCCUGCUGUCCUUGUCUGCAAUGGAGGAGGGUGGCUCUGUGGCCCCUGAGGCCCCCUCCCCUCGGGCCUGCUGAAAGAGCACUGCUUCGGUGCCAUCGUGGCGAUGCUAUUCACCCAUUUGUUUGGCAAAUGUUUACUGGAGACAUGGCUGGCCUGUGCCUUGGGGACACUACAGGGACAGGACCUCCAGGAUCCUCCUCCCGGCUCGGGCCCAGCAGAGACGGUGGACAGACCCCCAGGAUCCGGGCCCAGCAGGGGCGGUGGACAGACCCCCAGGGCCCUCCUCCCGGCUCGGGCCCAGCAGGGGUGGUGGACAGCAGCCCAAGGGUGUUCUGCAUGGCGGCCGGAGCUGGGGUUCGGGGGCCCUGCUAGGCUGUGGUGGGGCCUGCCCAGGCUUCCUGGAGGCGGCGGCGGUGAAGGGGAGAAUUCCUCGGUGUCUGUCUCCUUGUCAGACUUUGGGGCUGCAUCGCGGUUGCCCCAGCACAAAGUGAGGGCUCAUCAACGUUUGCUGGGUGAGCAAAGCUUAAAUGGGGUCACAGCUCCUCCGGGUUUCACUUUCCCCUCUGGACGGCAGGACUCUAACCCCUCACUGCGAGGGUGUGUGGAGAGUGGGGAGGCCUCAGCCCAGCUCUCUCGCUCUCCUGGACCCCUCUUCUACCACUGUGGCAGCAGCCGCUCCUCCCAGCUUGGGCCACAUCCAGACUUGGGGACAUUCCCAGAAUGCAGGAGGCUCCUGGACAAUCAAUAAUUCAAUAAAGCGCCAGGCGUCCGCCGGCUCCGGGUUGGUCCUGGGGAUAUGUUAUCUUGCUGGCUCCAUGCACGAGGAGGCUGGGAACUGCUCAGCUCGGUUCCAGAAGAGGAAACUGAGGCGGGGAGGGCAGGGAGGGAGGGAGAGAAGGAAGCAGUGAAGGCCGGGGCUGGCAGAUCACAGAAGCAGCUGGCAGGAGGGGGGUCGGGGCCUCAGGAGGGGGGGACCCUGUGGUCUCAGGAACUGCCAGGAAGCCUGGGUUUGGACCUGGUCUUGCCCCCUCUGGGUUUCUCCAUCCGUGAAUCACACGCAUGUGCCUUCUCCCUUCGCCCCGACCCUCAUGCUUUCCUGCUGUAUUCCUGUUCCGGGCGUCACCACCCCUGCAGUUCUGAGCUGCACCUGUACGCUCUGUGGGCAUCCUGCCCCUGCAUCACCAGGGCUGGGGCCACCUCCCUCCGUCCCAGCUGUGUCCCCGGUGGCCAGGUCACUGUCCAGCAUCAGGUUGGUGCUCAGGAAACGUUUGUCCAUGAAAUGAAGGAGCCCCCCCUUCCAGGCUUCUUGGAGGGCUGCUGAGAGGUUGCCCAUUUAGUAAGACCUGCUGUCCUAGCUGUUCGGUCCUUGUUUCUGGAAGGAAACCCCUCACCUUCCUCAUCUACAAAUUGAGAAUUGCAGUAGGAUCUGCGUACUGAGUUGUGUGAGAGUCAGAGACCCGCCAGGACGCUGGGAGGCUGGCAGGGAGGAGACGCUCCGUCAUAAACCCAGCUGCGUUUAUUACUGUUGCCGUCAUUUAAUUCGUCGUCGUUAGUCGGGAAAGCUCCUCGCCGGCAGCGAGUAGGGGGUCUGGGACCCUCUUCCGAUAUACGGAGGCAGGGGCUUGGGUUGGGAGAACGACUUCCCGGAAUCCGCGGGCGUGAGCGCCAGGGGUGGCCGUCAGCCAACCGUGAGCACCUGCUUGUCUCCCACCGGCCCCCAGUCAGCCCCCGGGCCCUGGCGAGGCUCCUCCCUGCCACCAGCCUCCGGGGGCUGCGGGGAGACGGCCCCACCGCCGUCCCGCGGGGGCGGGGGCGGGUGGGGGGGGGGCGCGGGCGGCCGUACUCGGAGGAAUACGGCGGCGGCGGCGGCGGGGCUGGGCGGUUUCCCGCCGCGGGUGAAUGAGUCCGACUGCGCUGCCGCCGCCACCGCCGCCCGCAUCGAAGCUCCGGCCGCGUCCCCCGCGCCAGCCCCGGGAGCCUGCGCGCCGAGACCCCUGCGUGUCUGCGAACAGACCUCCGGCCUCGGGCCAUCACCCCGGGCAGACGCUGCAGCCCCUGUCCGGGCCUCUUGCCUGCCGCCCCCAUGAGAAAAACCAACAUGUGGUUCUUGGAGCGGCUUCGGGGGUCUGGGGAAAACGGUGCUGCCCGGGGCGUGGGGAGUGAGGCGGGGGACAAGGCCUCCAAGGGGCCCCUGUACAGCAAUGUGUUGACGCCCGACAAGAUCCCCGACUUUUUCAUCCCCCCCAAGCUGCCCUCGGGCCCCGCGGAGGGCGAGGGACAGGCCGCGCUGGGCCCCUCCACGUCGGAACAGAACCUGGCCUUUGCGGCCCCUCGCCAGACCCCACGGAGCCCCCGGCUGCCUGCCAAGCUGGCAGCCGAGAGCAAGAGCCUGCUGAAGGCAGCCACCCGGCACGUGAUCCAGAUCGAGAGUGCCGAGGACUGGCCAUCCGAGGAGGCCACUGACGCCGACCCCCAGGCCCAGGGUGCCAUGUCCCUGCCCUCGGUUCCCAAGGCCCAGACGUCCUACGGCUUCGCCACGCUGGCCGAGAGCCCCCACACGAGGCGCAAGGAGUCUCUGUUCCACAGUGAGCACGGGGCUCUGGCCCAGGUGGGCUCCCCAGGGGCCGGGCGCCGCCGGGCAGCCGCCAAGGCCAACGGGGGUGAUGGGGGCCCCAGGGAGGCUGGCGGGGCCCUCAUGAGCCCCGGCCGCUACUUCAGUGGCGGGGAGAGCGACACAGGGUCCUCGGCCGAGUCCUCCCCCUUCGGGUCCCCUCUGCUGUCCCGCUCCGUGUCUCUGCUCAAAGGUUUCGCCCAGGACAGCCAGGCCAAGGUGAGCCAGCUCCGGCACUCCGUGGGCCGCCACGGCUCCCUGUCUGCCGACGACAGCACCCCGGACACCAGCCCCGGGAGCCGGCGCCGCCUGACCCGCCGGGCACCCCCGGAACCUGGCCCCGAGUCGGGCCAGGCGCGUGGGGAGCACACGGUCCACGUGGGCCCUCGGGGCAGCGUGCGGCUGCUGGCCGAGUACGAGGCCGGCCAGGCCCGCCUGCGGGUGCACCUGCUGGCCGCCGAGGGCCUCUACGACCGCCUGUGCGACGCCCGCAGCAUCAACUGCUGCGUGGGCCUGUGCCUGGUGCCGGGCAAGCUGCAGAAGCAGCGCAGCACCAUCGUCAAGAACAGCCGCCGCCCCGUCUUCAACGAGGAUUUCUUCUUCGACGGCCUGGGGCCCGCCAGCGUCCGGAAGCUGGCCCUCAGGAUCAAGGUGGUGAACAAGGGCAGCAGCCUCAAGCGGGACACGCUGCUCGGGGAGAAGGAGCUGCCCCUGACCUCCCUGCUCCCCUUCCUGUAGAGCGGGGACCUGCUUGCUGUCCGCUCGGGUGCGGAGGGCAGACCCCGGUCUCUCCUCCACACCGGGUGCUGGCGGGCGGGUCCGCCGGCUUGGGCUGGGGCGGGGCGGGGAGGGGCUCACACUCAGGCUGGGCUGGGCGCUGAUGCUGUAGCUGACGCAUGGUUUCCUGGGUCACCCGAUGCUGACUGGAGUAUUAUUUUUCAUGAAUUAAUUUCUUCUUUGGACGAGGAGGAGGAGAGGGGCCCUCGGGGGAAGAGAAGGGGCCACUCCACGGGGCAGAAGGUCCCCCUUUGCCCCUCCACACUGCCUAGCGCCUUUCACGCAGAGUUCUAGAAGGAGGUUCUCAGGGGUCCAGGAAUCCGUGCAAGUGGCCAGGGCGGGGCCGUGGACAGGGAGGUGACAAGUCUUGGAGCCCACAGUCUCCUUCGCUGCACGCCUGUCUUCCUCCCCCACAGCCUGCCGCCAUCCAAUUCCCACCCCACGGAGAGCAGGGCCUCGCGGCGACACCAGGCCCAGGCUCUGCCCGAGACGCCCCCCCACAGGGGUCAGGCUUGGCUCUGGGAGACCCCAGCUUCCCAGGCUCCGGUGGGGAGCGGGGCCAGGCGAGGGUGCCCUGACGAGGGUGGGCGUGGAGGGAGCAGCCGCUGCCACAGUCGGAGCAGAGGAGGUCUUGGCAGAGGUCCACGGGGAGGAGACGGCUCUCCUGGCCUGUUUUCCUCCGACACCGUCGCCACUGGCUUUUUGGGUACAGGCGCGUCUGGCCAUUUCUGCUGUGGCGCCGGAGGGUCUUGCUCAGAGAUGCCCAGAGAGCAGCCCUAUGGCCCAUCCGUCCUCGCUGGGGGCUGCCACCCCGUCGCCCUUUUGUCCAGCGUCUGCAGCUGGGAGCGACACGCAGUGAUUGACGGCCGUGGCUUUGACGCCACACGUGUAAAUAGGCUGUGGCUACGGUGGGUGGGUCGGAGCCCAGGAGGCAGCUGGGGGGACCUGGCUAUGGCCUUUCCUGCUGCUAGGUGGCUGCAAGGCUUCCAUUGUGUGGUUAUGUGGGUCCUUGAAUGAUUUUGGGGAGGUUUCCAGCUCAGAAUGAUGCAGAAAUGAUAAGACUCAAAGCAGGGGCCAGGCCAGGCCGGUGCCUUCGCCUCUCCCGGCUGCUGGUGGGCACGGGGGAACCAGGGCACAUCUGUGGUAUCCAGGGACUUCCCUUGUCAGCCCGUUUGCCACACUUUGUUCCUCUUGACCAGGGGAGGGUGGAGGAGCUGCUUCCCAGGACUGGAGGAGCAGCUGGGCCCCUGCUGCACGUCCGGUGGGACACACCUGUGAGCCCUCCAGAGGGAGAGUGCAGGCCCCUUCUGAGCCUGGUGUUGCAGGCGCUCCGCUCUCUCCGGAAGCCAGGGCGCCCAGGGCGGAGGCUCCUCAGGCCGGGGAGGCGGGGAGGGUGCCCUGCAUGGAGAGAGAUGCCGGCGCUCCCCGCCUUCUCUGAUGCUCACCCCUCCCAGGCCCCGUUCUCCCUGGGGUCCCCCGUUUAAUAGCCCCCUGCACUGUUUGAUAUCUUAGUGUCUGAGGUUGACUGUGGGUAAAUCUUUAAGACACUCCCCAGCUGUGUUUGUUUAUAAAUGCUGUUUAUAGUGCAAUAAAGGUGUUUCGGGAAUACGGGGGUGGAGGUUGGCUUCCCUGGCUGUUUAAUAACGAGAGAGUUCUGCGGUGAACUCCAGGGAGGAAGGAGGAGAGGAUUCCAGAUUGGCAAGGUCCUUUCCACUGCCCUCCGCAUUCUCCUGCCCGGGGUGGAGGCAGGCACGGGGCAGGAGCCCAGCCCCUGAUAAACCACCUCCCUUGGAGCGGCAGGUCUGGGUGCUGCUUCACGGUUCCAGCUCUGUGACUACGUGGAUGUCAGGAAACAGGACUCUGACCCUACAUGGUGCCUACAGGCAUCCCUGGCGCCACAGAGCACUCGGCCCCAGUGGGUGGUGUGCGGUGAAGGAGGCAGGCACACCUGCCAGCAGUCUCUCCUUUCAGACUG